UAGACAGAUUAUUGUAUUCGACUGUAUUCACGAUAUGUAUUUGUGAAUACAGUAACGUAAAAUAGCGCAAUUCAUAAUCUAUUCAGCUGUUUUUAAACGGAAAGUGAAUCAAUUAACAUAAUAGACUCCU
Molecule: non-coding RNA, 130 nt
Organism: Nicotiana sylvestris (wood tobacco)
Lineage: Eukaryota; Viridiplantae; Streptophyta; Magnoliopsida; Solanales; Solanaceae
Source: Rfam